RNAcentral lists this ribosomal RNA (599 nucleotides) under Rhodotorula mucilaginosa. Its description in RNAcentral is "eukaryotic LSU rRNA". It matches the Rfam family "Eukaryotic large subunit ribosomal RNA", at positions 73 to 664 of the family's 3401-position model. Lineage: Eukaryota; Fungi; Basidiomycota; Microbotryomycetes; Sporidiobolales; Sporidiobolaceae. The record is from RNAcentral.
ACACCCUAGUACGGCGACGAGCGGGAGAGCUCAAAUUUAUAAUCUGGCACCUUCGGUGUCCGAGUUGUAAUCUCUAGAAAUGUUUUCCGCGUUGGACCGCACACAAGUCUGUUGGAAUACAGCGGCAUAGUGGUGAGACCCCCGUAUAUGGUGCGGACGCCCAGCGCUUUGUGAUACAUUUUCGAAGAGUCGAGUUGUUUGGGAAUGCAGCUCAAAUUGGGUGGUAAAUUCCAUCUAAAGCUAAAUAUUGGCGAGAGACCGAUAGCGAACAAGUACCGUGAGGGAAAGAUGAAAAGCACUUUGGAAAGAGAGUUAACAGUACGUGAAAUUGUUGGAAGGGAAACGCUUGAAGUCAGACUUGCUUGCCGAGCAAUCGGUUUGCAGGCCAGCAUCAGUUUUCCGGGAUGGAUAAUGGUAAAGAGAAGGUAGCAGUUUCGGCUGUGUUAUAGCUCUCUACUGGAUACAUCCUGGGGGACUGAGGAACGCAGUGUGCCUUUGGCGGGGGUUUCGACCUCUUCACACUUAGGAUGCUGGUGGAAUGGCUUUAAACGACCCGUCUUGAACCACGGACCCACGACCCGUCUUGAAACACGGACCAA